RNAcentral lists this non-coding RNA (26 nucleotides) under Rattus norvegicus (Norway rat). The record is from RNAcentral. Lineage: Eukaryota; Metazoa; Chordata; Mammalia; Rodentia; Muridae.
UGACACUUUGCUAUGGCUGACAUUGU